AACGAACGCUGGCGGCAUGCCUAACACAUGCAAGUCGAACGAGACCUUCGGGUCUAGUGGCGCACGGGUGCGUAACGCGUGGGAACCUGCCCUUAGGUUCGGAAUAACUCCCCGAAAGGGGUGCUAAUACCGGCUAAUGUCUUCGGACCAAAGAUUUAUCGCCUUUGGAUGGGCCCGCGUUGGAUUAGCUAGUUGGUAGGGUAAAAGCAUACCAAGGCGACGAUCCAUAGCUGGUCUGAGAGGAUGAUCAGCCACACUGGGACUGAGACACGGCCCAGACUCCUACGGGAGGCAGCAGUGGGGAAUAUUGGACAAUGGGCGAAAGCCUGAUCCAGCAAUGCCGCGUGAGUGAUGAAGGCCUUAGGGUUGUAAAGCUCUUUUACCCGGGAUGAUAAUGACAGUACCGGGAGAAUAAGCUCCGGCUAACUCCGUG
This 433-nucleotide ribosomal RNA is filed under the name uncultured bacterium. RNAcentral describes it as "partial 16S ribosomal RNA". It matches the Rfam family "Bacterial small subunit ribosomal RNA", at positions 29 to 507 of the family's 1533-position model. The record is from RNAcentral.